This 77-nucleotide transfer RNA is filed under the name Streptomyces antarcticus. RNAcentral describes it as "tRNA-Trp". It matches the Rfam family "tRNA". From Rfam's summary of the family: Transfer RNA (tRNA) molecules are approximately 80 nucleotides in length. Their secondary structure includes four short double-helical elements and three loops (D, anti-codon, and T loops). Lineage: Bacteria; Bacillati; Actinomycetota; Actinomycetes; Kitasatosporales; Streptomycetaceae. The record is from RNAcentral. RNAcentral also lists the same sequence under 11 other names.
AGGGGUGUAGCUCAGCUGGUCAGAGCGCCGGUCUCCAAAACCGAAGGUCGCAGGUUCGAAUCCUGCCGCCCCUGCCA